Molecule: ribosomal RNA, 254 nt
Filed under: uncultured bacterium
Lineage: Bacteria
Description: partial 16S ribosomal RNA
Rfam family: Bacterial small subunit ribosomal RNA
Source: RNAcentral
UACGUAGGGUGCGAGCGUUGUCCGGAAUUAUUGGGCGUAAAGAGCUCGUAGGCGGUGUGUCACGUCGGCCGUGAAAACCUGGGGCUUAACUCUGGGCGUGCGGUCGAUACGGGCAUCACUAGAGUGCGGCAGGGGAGACUGGAAUUCCUGGUGUAGCGGUGAAAUGCGCAGAUAUCAGGAGGAACACCGGUGGCGAAGGCGGGUCUCUGGGCCUAUACUGACGCUGAGGAGCGAAAGCGUGGGUAGCGAACAGG